AGGGCUACACACGUGCUACAAUGGCGCAUACAAAGAGAAUGCGACCUCGCGAGAAGCAAGCGGACCUCAUAAAAGUGCGUCGUAGUCCGGAUUGGAGUCUUGCAACUCGACUCCAUGGAAAGUCGGAAUCGCUAGUAAUCGUGGAUCAGAAUGCCACGGUGAAUACGUUCCCGGGCCUUGUACACACCGCCCGUCACACCAUGGGAGUGGGUUGCAAAAGAAGUAGGUAGCUUAACCUUCGGGAGGGCGCUUACCACUUUGUGAUUCAUGACUGGGGUGAAGUCGUAACAAGGUAACCGUAGGGGAACCUGCGGUUGGAUCACCUCCUUACCUUAAAGAAGC
RNAcentral lists this ribosomal RNA (342 nucleotides) under Escherichia sp. E5028. Its description in RNAcentral is "bacterial SSU rRNA". It matches the Rfam family "Bacterial small subunit ribosomal RNA", at positions 1210 to 1533 of the family's 1533-position model. The record is from RNAcentral. Lineage: Bacteria; Pseudomonadati; Pseudomonadota; Gammaproteobacteria; Enterobacterales; Enterobacteriaceae.